CGCGAACCAUCGAGUCUUUGAACGCAAGUUGCGCCCGAGGCCACCCGGCUGAGGGCRCGCCUGCCUGGGCGUCA
This 74-nucleotide ribosomal RNA is filed under the name Nassella trichotoma. RNAcentral's name for it is "5.8S ribosomal RNA". The record is from RNAcentral. Lineage: Eukaryota; Viridiplantae; Streptophyta; Magnoliopsida; Poales; Poaceae.